Long non-coding RNA from Oreochromis niloticus (Nile tilapia), 640 nucleotides. RefSeq lists it as uncharacterized. The transcript has 3 exons. Lineage: Eukaryota; Metazoa; Chordata; Actinopteri; Cichliformes; Cichlidae. The record is from RefSeq and is a predicted model, not a curated record.
CACCGUCACUCUGCUGUUGUCUCCGCCCAUCAGUGAGAUGUGGUCUUUGACCCAGCGUAGCGCUGACUCCUGGUCCGAGAGGCCGUAGUUACCACGGAGACCAGACUCACCUGGAGAAAGAGGUGGAGAGGAGGCCAGUACCGGGUUUCUGGUACCAGCCAAAGGGGUCCGGUGUGGUCUUCACUGCUGACGGUCUGCAGUCCUGAGUCCUCCAGGUCGUCACGUCGUCUUCACUGCAGGUGUUAUCGGGCACUCUGUCCAGCAGGGGGCGGCAGGGUCGUCUCAGAGGUUUAUCGUAAGCUCCACAAACUCUGCUGUCCGGAUACAAUGAGCAGCUGAAGAAACCCGUCGAGUCUGCAUCUCUGAGGUCAGCAACCGAGCACUGCGGCUCUUCUUCACAACCUGAAACCACACAGCGUCUCAGGACUGAUGGAGGAAACCGCUGAGGAGCAACGCCGACGUCAUACCAGCAUGACCUGAAAGACUGAGGCAGCUGUCCCGACACAGACACUAACCUGUCCGAGCAUUUUUCAGGGCUUCCAGCAUAUAAACAGCAUGGCUAAUGACAGGCCAACUAUCAAUCGGUUUGCCCUCCUGUGCUCCACAUGCAGAGAACUGAAGCUGCUACACGAUUGGUCAA